RNAcentral lists this transfer RNA (65 nucleotides) under Peniagone sp. YYH-2013. Its description in RNAcentral is "tRNA-Lys". It matches the Rfam family "tRNA". From Rfam's summary of the family: Transfer RNA (tRNA) molecules are approximately 80 nucleotides in length. Their secondary structure includes four short double-helical elements and three loops (D, anti-codon, and T loops). Further hydrogen bonds mediate the characteristic L-shaped molecular structure. tRNAs have two regions of fundamental functional importance: the anti-codon, which is responsible for specific mRNA codon recognition, and the 3' end, to which the tRNAs corresponding amino acid is attached (by aminoacyl-tRNA synthetases). tRNAs cope with the degeneracy of the genetic code in two manners: having more than one tRNA (with a specific anti-codon) for a particular amino acid; and 'wobble' base-pairing, i.e. permitting non-standard base-pairing at the 3rd anti-codon position. The record is from RNAcentral. Lineage: Eukaryota; Metazoa; Echinodermata; Holothuroidea; Elasipodida; Elpidiidae.
CUUUAAGUAGCUUAAACAAAGUAUUAGCCUCUUAAUCUAAAUAUGAACUAAAUAUUCCUUAAAGA